This is an RNA transcript of Populus trichocarpa (black cottonwood), 1517 nucleotides long. It is a transcript of the gene named PHD finger protein ALFIN-LIKE 4, with no coding region annotated. The transcript has 6 exons. The record is from RefSeq and is a predicted model, not a curated record. Lineage: Eukaryota; Viridiplantae; Streptophyta; Magnoliopsida; Malpighiales; Salicaceae.
UUUUUUUUGGCCUGUCCCUGUCUCCACUCUCCUGCUUCUGCUACCAAGUACUGAGAAAAAAAAAAGAAAAAAAAAAGGAACUUCUUUUUUGGAUUCUUCAUAAAUAUAAAUACCCCUCCAAAACAAGAUAGAUUUCCUUUGUUAUCUCUCUCGCUCUCUCUCUUUUAUAAUAAUUACAUUAUUUAGUAUUUAUCUUGGUCUAUCUGCAGCACAAUUUGUUUGUUUGAAUUGUACGGAAAAAUGGACGGAGGCGCCCAGUACAACCCCCGAACUGUAGAGGAGGUUUUCAGGGAUCUUAAAGGCCGUAGAGCUGGAAUGAUCAAAGCCCUAACUACUGAUGUAGAAGAAUUUUAUCAGCGGUGUGAUCCUGAGAAGGAGAAUCUUUGCCUGUAUGGGUUCCCUAAUGAACAGUGGGAAGUCAAUUUACCUGCUGAAGAAGUGCCUCCCGAACUCCCAGAGCCUGCACUUGGAAUUAACUUUGCCAGAGAUGGGAUGCAAGAAAAAGACUGGCUCUCUCUAGUUGCUGUUCAUAGUGACGCGUGGUUGCUUGCUGUGGCUUUCUACUUUGGCUCUAGAUUUGGUUUUGAUAAAACUGAUAGGAAACGUCUUUUCACUAUGAUAAAUGAUCUCCCAACAAUAUUUGAGAUUGUAACUGGAGCUGUGAAGAAACAAGCAAAGGAGAAAUCAUCCGUCUCAAAUCAUAGCAGCAACAAGUCCAAGUCAAGCUCAAAAGGGCGAGCAUCAGAUUCUGUCAAGUAUUUGAAGGGGCAACCAAAGGAUGAGGAGGAAGGACUGGAUGAGGAGGAGGAGGAGCACGGGGAUACUUUGUGUGGGGCGUGUGGAGAGAACUAUGCUGCAGAUGAGUUCUGGAUUUGUUGCGACAUAUGUGAAAAGUGGUUCCAUGGCAAGUGCGUGAAAAUCACUCCUGCCAGGGCUGAGCACAUCAAGCAGUACAAAUGCCCAUCAUGCAGCAACAAGAGAGCUAGACCUUGAUAUUAAUAUGGGUGUGGGUCCUCACCUCUGCACUUAUCUCAUGCUCAACUCAGCUAACUCUUUAGCCAGUCAGGUUUUCUAUGUUGUGCCAUGUUACCACAGCAUGUAAAUCAACUAAAGAAGACAUUAUAUAGGAAUUAAAAUGAGAAUUCUUAUCCCACUGUCGAUUCCUUAGCAAACAAAGCAUUGAAGUGGGUAGAUUUGCCAGAUAAGGUCUGCAGCAUAACAAAGCUCUUUCAAGUAUGUGUUCGUCUAUAUAUAUGUAUGUAUGCAUGCAAUAUUAUUUUUUUGAGAAAAAAAUAGAAAUAAACAAUCUGAAAAGGAAGAAGAUCCAGCUUUCAACUUCCCAGAAAGCCAGCAAUCUUUCUUAUUUUCGUUUAAGCCGUUCAUCAAUGAAAAUUGUAGGGUGAUGCAGGCUUCUUUCCAAAGAAUGGAAUAGUCUCACCAUCAAUCUCCAUUGCCAAAGAACCAAAAUAAUAUCUGGCUAUUUCAUAAAAAGCAUGACUAGCAACAUUUUUUUUCCA